Lingula anatina is the source of this 1009-nucleotide long non-coding RNA. The record is from RefSeq and is a predicted model, not a curated record. NCBI's taxonomy places the organism in Eukaryota, Metazoa, Brachiopoda, Lingulata, Lingulida, Lingulidae.
CAGUGGUGUGACUGGUUCUCUGUCACUUGAGUCCCCUUUGUGGACAGAGAGGAGGUAACGUGGAAGAUGCUGGCGUGUCCAAACCUCAAGAAGCCUAGAGUGACGGCAUUCUAGAAAUAUGAUGGUCGUGUGGAGCGAUGGUCUAAAUGGUUGCCUGGCGACGAGUGUCACUGAUAAACGGGAUAAAGACUGACCACGAGCUGAACAAACAAAGCCACCUGGAUAGUUUGUUUGCCUUGAUAAAUAUAGGGAUUAUCAAUAAUAAAAGUCAUUUUGAGAAGACUAAAAAGAAACUAAUGAGCAAUUUUCACAAGAAUGGAGGCUAUCAAAGUUUACGCCCAUGGAGAAGAAAAUGCCACAGCUGUAUCCUGUAUCCACUGCAGAGGAAAAUGGACAUCCGAAAUUCGUUGAGGAUGAACGGUACACCUGUCAGUCGGUGACAACAGAGACACUCCCUCAGACAGAAAUACAAUGCAGUUGAAGAGAAUCAGACAGAAAGCACGGACCUGCCUCAACAUAAGAGAUCUUAAGAAUGUGAACAAUUAGCCUUGACAUCAUCACAAUAUGCACUCUUUCUCGUAGAAUCCCGGAUGAUCAGAUGAGAGUUAACUGACUCAAAGUACCAACAGGUAUUUCGAACCCGACGAAAGAAUUCUGUGCACCAGCAGCAAGGGCAGAGACAAGGAGGCUUGGUUCUCAUAAUCUUCAGGGUAAUUACAAUUUUCAGAACUAGGUACACGUUCUAGGAAUUGUUCUGUAGUAAGGCGAACAACUUUUGCAGGGCUGAUAUUUUCCACUUUCCACGUUUUUAUUAUUUUUUUAUGAAACCCCAAAUAAUUGUGCAAGAUACAUGUAACUGCGAGAUUCAAUUAGUGCCUUGCAGUAAAGUGGAAACAAUCAAGCUUGAAGAUGUUACACCAUUUAUGUAACCAGUACAGGUGCUCCAUUAUGUUGUAAACUUUGGAGGUACUCUAGGGCAGUGGUUCAGGGGAUAGGGUGGGUGGGGCAG